UGAACGCUGGCGGUAGGCCUAACACAUGCAAGUCGAACGGCAGCACAGUAAGAGCUUGCUCUUACGGGUGGCGAGUGGCGGACGGGUGAGGAAUACAUCGGAAUCUACUUUUUCGUGGGGGAUAACGUAGGGAAACUUACGCUAAUACCGCAUACGACCUACGGGUGAAAGCAGGGGAUCUUCGGACCUUGCGCGAUUGAAUGAGCUGAUGUCGGAUUAGCUAGUUGGCGGGGUAAAGGCCCACCAAGGCGACGAUCCGUAGCUGGUCUGAGAGGAUGAUCAGCCACACUGGAACUGAGACACGGUCCAGACUCCUACGGGAGGCAGCAGUGGGGAAUAUUGGACAAUGGGCGCAAGCCUGAUCCAGCCAUACCGCGUGGGUGAAGAAGGCCUUCGGGUUGUAAAGCCCUUUUGUUGGGAAAGAAAAGCAGCAGGUUAAUACCCCGCUGUUCUGACGGUACCCAAAGAAUAAGCACCGGCUAACUUCGUG
RNAcentral lists this ribosomal RNA (490 nucleotides) under uncultured bacterium. Its description in RNAcentral is "partial 16S ribosomal RNA". It matches the Rfam family "Bacterial small subunit ribosomal RNA", at positions 30 to 507 of the family's 1533-position model. The record is from RNAcentral.